CCACCCAUUCAGAACCACCAUAACUAUGAUCUUUCCCUUUUGGCAACUUUGGGUGAUCCUCCAAUUUUCAUGAGAAUCCUGAGCUACCCAUUUCUCGUUUCUAUAUUUAUAUUACACAAUCUAAUCAAUAUAUAUCCUUCACAACAACAAAAAUCAACAUCCAAAAAAUUCAUGCUUCUUUCUGCAAUUUUCCUAUAAUACAUACCCAUUAUCACCCAUUUUUCAAUCACAAAUACUUGGUGCUGCACACACCAAAAGCACGACUGCAAACCCAAAAUAUAAAACUCAAACACAAAACAGGAGGAAAAAUAAAUAGAAGCCUAUGUAAACAUUCUCACAAUUCAAAAUCCUGAUUCAUACCCAAAACUAACUUCCAAAAUACACUCAAGCAAAAUCCCAUACACAUAGAAUCCAAGCUUGGACAAAGUGGUCAUUGUAUUGCAAAUUGCAACAUAAACAUAAAAAGACUCUUAGAAGAGGUUCAAAAUUAUCAUACAAUAAAACAACUAAAAUGAUAUGAAUUAUUACUCCUCAAAUUUGACUCAACAUAUAUACCUGAGACAUGCAAAACAAUUCUGAAUGUAUAGUUCUUUCAAAGUUCUCAAAGUUCAAUGUGAUUCAACCAAUAUGAUCAUCUAAAGUGUCCAUAAUACCAUCUCACUAUAUUAUAGGCUUCUUUUACUACAACAAAAAAAUUUAUAAGUUCCAUAAAAGACUUAUAACCUAAGAGACUUAUUAAUUCAGGUACAUAAAUAUUGGCAAGGAAUAAAGGCAAGUGCUAAGUUAAUUGAAUCAAAAUUAAACAACCUAAAUGUUAAAACUAAGGUAGCAAUAUUUACUGUGGCAAUGAAGCUAUUACGACGUAUCCUUAAUUCUACCUUGAAAAAGUUUCUCCCAAAUUUCUCAAGCAAUCUGGAUUCAUCACACUAUGAAUCUGAAGUGCACAUGUUGCUUCCAAUUUCAUUACCCAGUUAGUCUAAAUAGAUUUUGAAGUGUCCAACAAUUUGAGAUUUGAGGCAACAUUAUAGAUAUAUAAAAUGCAUCAACCACCUUGAGAAUUUUUCCUAUUAUUAAAUAUAUUAAGAAAUUAAAAAAUAUAAGAAACUCUAACUACAUGCAUAAAUUAGUAGACAAACACAUUAAUUUCAGGUCAUAAAAAGUCCACAUACUUGAGUUAAAUCAAAAUUUCUUGAUAAACACAUUGAUAUCAUGUUGUAAGAACCUCUAAAAUUGAAUGUUAUAUAUAGGGUGUGUGUGUAGUUGUGUCUAUAUAUAUAGUUAUCCAAGUAGAACAUGAGUAAGGAAGCCGAUGGAAGCCGAUAUAAGAUUCGAGUUGUUAUGGUUAAAGACCCCAACCUUAGAAUAAAUAUCAUUUUAUAUAAAAUAAAUAACAAAUGAAAAGUUAAUAACUACUCCCUCCUUUCCACAAAUAGAAAUUCACUUACAAAAUUCACAAAUAUUAAGAUUUUUUGUUCCAUAUUCAUCCAAAAUUUAUUUGGCCUACCUCUCAAAUUAACGAAAAUCAGCUACUUUACCAACUUAGUAUUGGAGAUAGAACUCAUCCCUAUUUUGAGCUUCAAUAGCAGUACGUGAACACUGAACAUAUACAAAAUACACAAAUUAAAAGAGCCAAAAGACAUGACAAUAUCACAAUCACAACAUCAUAUUUACAUGAGAUUUCAAAUUCAUUGUUUCAUUUGACAUGAUGACAAUAUCCCUUAUGUAUUACAUUUACAUAUAUAAUAUUUAAACGAGAUAGCAAAACACAAUCUUUCACUCUCUCUCGCUCUGUGAGUAUUUUUGCUCAAAUGUGUAGGUAAAAAUAGUACAAUUUCAUAGUAAAGUAUAAAAAUGAGAUUAUUUUUUGAAUAAAAAUACAUACCCGUGAGCGCAUACAUACAUAUAUAUAUAUAGAGAGAGAGAAAGGAUCUUAGGCUGACCAUUUGGACGGACGGACCAAAGGGAACACGCGGGUCAAAGGCUGAGAUCCGGGUCACACGCGGGUCAAAAAGAGGCCAUUUCCAAAUGAAAUCGAGACGAAUUUCACAGCUGAAGCAACGAAGCAAAGAGAUCCUCUCAAUUACAUCCAUUUCGCGAAUUUCGCAGAUCUGAAGUAAAGAGAUCUCAAACUCCCUCACCUCAAACUCUGCCAUUUCGCGAAGGGGCAGUAAUCACUAGAUUCCGAUUCUCUCAACUGGAACUGAAGCAAAGGGGCAGUAAUCACUAGAUCCGAUUAGCGAAUUCACAGAGCUAAUUCACAGAGCAAAAAAACUUUUGGGGUAUGUUUCAAUAAACUUGAAUUACUCAAUUCGGG
Molecule: long non-coding RNA, 2314 nt
Filed under: Panax ginseng (ginseng)
Lineage: Eukaryota; Viridiplantae; Streptophyta; Magnoliopsida; Apiales; Araliaceae
Description: long non-coding RNA (PGIN_LNC001137)
Source: RNAcentral